This 254-nucleotide ribosomal RNA is filed under the name uncultured bacterium. RNAcentral's name for it is "partial 16S ribosomal RNA". It matches the Rfam family "Bacterial small subunit ribosomal RNA", at positions 524 to 777 of the family's 1533-position model. The record is from RNAcentral.
UACGUAGGGUGCAAGCGUUGUCCGGAAUUAUUGGGCGUAAAGAGCGCGUAGGCGGUCCGAUAAGUCGGCUGUGAAAGUCAGGGGCUCAACCCUUGAAAGCCGGCCGAUACUGUCGGACUAGAGUCCGGAAGAGGCAAGCGGAAUUCCCGGUGUAGCGGUGAAAUGCGCAGAUAUCGGGAGGAACACCAAUGGCGAAGGCAGCUUGCUGGGACGGUACUGACGCUGAGGCGCGAAAGCGUGGGGAGCAAACAGGG